Molecule: microRNA precursor, 203 nt
Filed under: Oryza brachyantha (malo sina)
Lineage: Eukaryota; Viridiplantae; Streptophyta; Magnoliopsida; Poales; Poaceae
Description: MIR812 microRNA precursor family
Rfam family: MIR812 microRNA precursor family
Source: Rfam by way of RNAcentral
AAUAAACCAAUCUUUCACUUUUUACUUAUAAUUUUUGACUCUUCGUCCUAUUUAAAUUUUUUAUGAUUAACAUUUUUGUUUUUAUUAGAUGAUAAAUCAUAAAUAGUACUUUGCAUAUGACUAUUUUUUAAAAACAAUUAAAAUUUUUUUCAAAUAAGACGGAUGAUCAAACACUGGGCAUGGGAACCAAAAGUUACCUUAUU